This 243-nucleotide ribosomal RNA is filed under the name Paenibacillus agri. RNAcentral's name for it is "Bacterial large subunit ribosomal RNA". It matches the Rfam family "Bacterial large subunit ribosomal RNA", at positions 2612 to 2861 of the family's 2925-position model. Lineage: Bacteria; Bacillati; Bacillota; Bacilli; Caryophanales; Paenibacillaceae. The record is from Rfam by way of RNAcentral.
CAGAACGUCGUGAGACAGUUCGGUCCCUAUCUGUCGUGGGCGUAGGAAAUUUGAGAGGAGCUGUCCUUAGUACGAGAGGACCGGGAUGGACGUACCGCUGGUGCACCAGUUGUUCCGCCAGGAGCAUGGCUGGGUAGCUACGUACGGACGGGAUAAGCGCUGAAAGCAUCUAAGCGUGAAGCCCCCCUCAAGAUGAGAUUUCCCAAUUAGUAAGACCCCUUGAAGACGACGAGGUAGAUAGGU